This 254-nucleotide long non-coding RNA is filed under the name Mytilus galloprovincialis (Mediterranean mussel). Lineage: Eukaryota; Metazoa; Mollusca; Bivalvia; Mytilida; Mytilidae. The record is from RNAcentral.
UAUAUAAUCAUCAAAAAAAUAACGACAAAGAAAUGAAUGUAAGUGUAUUAAUCUAUGUUGAAAGCCUGCACAAUGACAAACGAUGAAACCUAUAUUGCCUUUUUGGGCGUAAAAUGGGUGAAAUUUGGAUAAAGUGGCGUUUUGUUAAGAAGAAAAAAAAAUGGAAAGCGAUUGAUUGUGAUUGAACACCUUAAAAGCGAUCAUGUUGAAAAAAUCUUUCAGACUUUAAAAUAAUGCAUUUUUGAUGAAAAAAA